Molecule: ribosomal RNA, 389 nt
Filed under: Pyramimonadales sp.
Lineage: Eukaryota; Viridiplantae; Chlorophyta; Pyramimonadophyceae; Pyramimonadales
Description: partial small subunit ribosomal RNA
Rfam family: Eukaryotic small subunit ribosomal RNA
Source: RNAcentral
AUUCCAGCUCCAAUAGCGUAUAUUUAAGUUGUUGCAGUUAAAAAGCUCGUAGUUGGAUUUCGGAUGUGAACGACCGGUCCGCCGUUGCGGUGUGCACUGGACGUUUGUAUCUUGUUGUCGGGGACGCGCACCUUGCCUUAACUGGUCGGGACGCGGAGUCGGCGCUGUUACUUUGAAAAAAUUAGAGUGUUCAAAGCAGGCAACCGCUCUGAAUACAUUAGCAUGGAAUAACGCUAUAGGACUCUGGUCUUAUUGUGUUGGUCUUCGAGACCGGAGUAAUGAUUAAGAGGGACAGUUGGGGGCAUUCGUAUUUCAUUGUCAGAGGUGAAAUUCUUGGAUUUAUGAAAGACGAACUUCUGCGAAAGCAUUUGCCAAGGAUGUUUUCAUUG